RNAcentral lists this ribosomal RNA (584 nucleotides) under Ulva prolifera. RNAcentral's name for it is "eukaryotic LSU rRNA". The stretch from base 184 to 338 matches the Rfam family "5.8S ribosomal RNA". Lineage: Eukaryota; Viridiplantae; Chlorophyta; Ulvophyceae; Ulvales; Ulvaceae. The record is from RNAcentral.
CCAAUCACAGAGCACCUGCGGGCGCUCGCUCCCCUCGGGGGGCGAGGGCCCGCCGUUUACAGGAUCCGCCGGCGCGUGAGCUCCCCUCGGGGGGCGACCGCGCCGGGCCGGAGCCCUAACCCAUUGAACCCUCUGCCCUGAAGCAGCUUCGCACGGGGACACCCCUGCGAUAGUAACUGAGACAACUCUCAACAACGGAUAUCUUGGCUCUCGCAACGAUGAAGAACGCAGCGAAAUGCGAUACGUAGUGUGAAUUGCAGAAUUCCGUGAGUCAUCGAAUCUUUGAACGCACAUUGCCGGUCGACUCUUCGGAGGAGACCACAUCUGCCUCAGCGUCGGAAUACCCCCUCACGCACCCCCGCGUGGACCUGGCCCCCCCGGACGCCUCGGCGCCCGGGCCGGCUGAAAUACAGAGGCUCGCGCGCGGCCCAUUCGUGGCCCCGACUAGGUAGGUAGCUCGCUACUUCUAGGCGGUGGCUCGGUGUCGCGUGCUGUGGGCCCGAAAGGAUACCAAUCCAUUCAUUCGACCUGAGUUCAGGUGAGGCUACCCGCUGAACUUAAGCAUAUCAAUAAGCGGAAGGAAA